RNAcentral lists this ribosomal RNA (232 nucleotides) under uncultured bacterium. RNAcentral's name for it is "partial 16S ribosomal RNA". It matches the Rfam family "Bacterial small subunit ribosomal RNA", at positions 524 to 752 of the family's 1533-position model. The record is from RNAcentral.
UACGUGAGGGCGCAAGCGUUGUCCGGAAUUAUUGGGCGUAAAGAGCUCGUAGGCGGUUUGUCGCGUCUGCUGUGAAAACCUAAGGCUCAACCUUGGGCUUGCAGUGGGUACGGGCAGACUAGAGUGCGGUAGGGGUGACUGGAAUUCCUGGUGUAGCGGUGGAAUGCGCAGAUAUCAGGAGGAACACCGAGUGGCGAAGGCAGGUCACUGGGCCGCAACUGACGCUGGAGGA